RNAcentral lists this transfer RNA (75 nucleotides) under Camelus bactrianus (Bactrian camel). It matches the Rfam family "tRNA". Rfam says of the family: Transfer RNA (tRNA) molecules are approximately 80 nucleotides in length. Lineage: Eukaryota; Metazoa; Chordata; Mammalia; Artiodactyla; Camelidae. The record is from Rfam by way of RNAcentral. RNAcentral also lists the same sequence under 1 other name.
GAGGACAUAGCUCAAUGGUAGAGUGAAUGCUUAUUAGCAUGCAUGAGGUCCUGGGUUCAAUCCCCAGUACCUCCA